CCUACGGGAGGCAGCAGUAGGGAAUCUUUCACAAUGGGCGCAAGCCUGAUGGAGCAACGCCGCGUGCAGGAUGAAGGCCUUCGGGUUGUAAACUGCUUUUAUAAGCGAGAAAUAUGAUGGUAACUUAUGAAUAAGGAUCGGCUAACUACGUGCCAGCAGCCGCGGUCAUACGUAGGAUCCGAGCAUUAUCCGGAGUGACUGGGUGUAAAGAGUUGCGUAGGUGGCAUAAUAAGUAGCUAGUGAAAUCUGGUGGCUCAACCAUUCAGACUAUUAGCUAAACUGUUAAGCUCGAGACCGUUAGGGGUAACUGGAAUUUCUGGUGUAGGAGUGAAAUGCGUAGAUAUUAGAAGGAACACCAAUAGCGUAGGCAGGUUACUGGGACGGUUCUGACACUGAGGCACGAAAGCGUAGGGAGCAAACGGGAUUAGAUACCCGAGUAGUC
This 442-nucleotide ribosomal RNA is filed under the name uncultured bacterium. Its description in RNAcentral is "partial 16S ribosomal RNA". It matches the Rfam family "Bacterial small subunit ribosomal RNA", at positions 338 to 795 of the family's 1533-position model. The record is from RNAcentral.